RNAcentral lists this ribosomal RNA (253 nucleotides) under uncultured microorganism. Its description in RNAcentral is "partial 16S ribosomal RNA". It matches the Rfam family "Bacterial small subunit ribosomal RNA", at positions 524 to 776 of the family's 1533-position model. The record is from RNAcentral.
UACGUAGGGGGCGAGCGUUACCCGGAUUUACUGGGCGUAAAGGGGGCGUAGGCGGCCGUGAAAGUCCGGUGUGAAAACUCACGGCUCAACCGUGGGACUGCGCUGGAAACUACACGGCUUGAGGACGGUAGAGGGAGACGGAACUGCUGGUGUAGGGGUGAAAUCCGUAGAUAUCAGCAGGAACGCCGGUGGAGAAGUCGGUCUCCUGGGCCUGUACUGACGCUCAUGCACGAAAGCGUGGGGAGCAAACAGG